UACAGAGGGUGCGAGCGUUGUCCGGAAUCACUGGGCGUAAAGGGCGCGUAGGUGGCGACCCAAGUCGAGGGUGAAAGCUCGCCGCUCAACGGCGAGUCGGCCACCGAUACUGGGUUGCUUGAGCACUGUAGAGGCUAAUGGAAUUCCGGGUGUAGCGGUGGAAUGCGUAGAGAUCCGGAAGAACACCGGUGGCGAAGGCGGUUAGCUGGGCAGUUGCUGACACUGAGGCGCGACAGCGUGGGGAGCAAACAGG
This 253-nucleotide ribosomal RNA is filed under the name uncultured bacterium. RNAcentral's name for it is "partial 16S ribosomal RNA". It matches the Rfam family "Bacterial small subunit ribosomal RNA", at positions 524 to 776 of the family's 1533-position model. The record is from RNAcentral.